UACAGAGGUGGCAAGCGUUGUUCGGAAUUACUGGGCGUAAAGCGCACGUAGGCGGAUUGGAAAGUUGGGGGUGAAAUCCCGGGGCUCAACCCCGGAACUGCCUUCAAAACUCCCAGUCUGGAGGUCGAGAGAGGUGAGUGGAAUUCCGAGUGUAGAGGUGAAAUUCGUAGAUAUUCGGAGGAACACCAGUGGCGAAGGCGGCUCACUGGCUCGAUACUGACGCUGAGGUGCGAAAGCGUGGGGAGCAAACAGG
This 253-nucleotide ribosomal RNA is filed under the name uncultured bacterium. RNAcentral describes it as "partial 16S ribosomal RNA". It matches the Rfam family "Bacterial small subunit ribosomal RNA", at positions 524 to 776 of the family's 1533-position model. The record is from RNAcentral.